GAGAGAGAGAGAGAAACAGAGAAAGAGAGAGAGAGAGAGAGAGAGAGAGAGAGAUAGACAGCAAGAGAGACACAGAGACAGUAAGAGAGAGACAGCAAGAGAGACACAGAGACAGAGAGAGAUAGACAGCAAGAGAGACACAGAGACAGAGAGAGAGAGACACAGAGAGAGAGAGAGAGAGAGAGAGACAGAGAGACACAGAGACAGAGAGAGAGACACAAAGAGAGAGAGAGAGAGACAGCAAGAGAGACACAGAGAGAGAGGCAGCGAGAGAGAGACACAAAGAGAGAGAGAGAGAGACAGCAAGAGAGACACAGAGGCAGCGAGAGAGACACAAAGAGAGAGAGAGAGAGAGAGAGAGAGAGAGACAGCAAGAGAGACACAGAGACAGAGAGAGAGACACAAGAGAGAGAGAGAGAGAGACAGCAAGAGAGACACAGAGACAGAGAGAGAGACAGCAAGAGAGACACAGAGAGAGAGAGACAGCAAGAGAGACACAGAGACAGAGAGACA
Molecule: long non-coding RNA, 513 nt
Organism: Oncorhynchus tshawytscha (Chinook salmon)
Lineage: Eukaryota; Metazoa; Chordata; Actinopteri; Salmoniformes; Salmonidae
Source: Ensembl